GCCAGUGGGACAUAGUGGGUGGAGUGUCGGACUAUGACUCUGGAGAGCUGGGUUCGAUUCCCAGCUCGGCCA
Phrynosoma platyrhinos (Desert horned lizard) is the source of this 72-nucleotide non-coding RNA. Lineage: Eukaryota; Metazoa; Chordata; Lepidosauria; Squamata; Phrynosomatidae. The record is from the annotation of a GenBank genome assembly.